Molecule: unclassified non-coding RNA, 247 nt
Filed under: air metagenome
Description: partial contains small subunit ribosomal RNA, internal transcribed spacer 1, and 5.8S ribosomal RNA
Rfam family: Eukaryotic small subunit ribosomal RNA (bases 1-46)
Source: RNAcentral
AAGUCGUAACAAGGUUUCCGUAGGUGAACCUGCGGAAGGAUCAUUGACAUGAACCCGGCAGCCCAGCUGUCCGGUCGGGGGCCCCUCAGGGGGCCCUGUCUGCACCCUAUGUCGUUGUAGUACCUCGCGUUUCCUCGGCGGGCUCGCCCGCCAACGGGGACCUCAACCAAAACCCUUUGAAGUACCUGCAGUAAACGUCUCACAAACAAUUAAAUCAAAACUUUCAACAACGGAUCUCUUGGUUCUG